This 334-nucleotide unclassified non-coding RNA is filed under the name soil metagenome. RNAcentral describes it as "partial contains 5.8S ribosomal RNA, internal transcribed spacer 2, and large subunit ribosomal RNA". The stretch from base 1 to 120 matches the Rfam family "5.8S ribosomal RNA", at positions 35 to 154 of the family's 154-position model. The record is from RNAcentral.
GAUGAAGAACGUAGCGAAAUGCGAUAAGUAAUGUGAAUUGCAGAAUUCAGUGAAUCAUCGAAUCUUUGAACGCACAUUGCGCCCGCCAGUAUUCUGGCGGGCAUGCCUGUUCGAGCGUCAUUUCAACCAUCAAGCCCCAGGCUUGUGUUGGAGCCCUGCGGCUGCCGCAGCCUCCCAAAACCAGUGGCGGGCUCGCUAUCACACCGAGUGCAGUAGUUUACUCUUCGCUCAGGGCGUGUGGCGGGUGCUAGCCGUGAAACCCCCAACUUCACAAGGUUGACCUCGGAUCAGGUAGGAAGAACCGCUGAACUUAAGCAUAUCAAUAAGCGGAGGA